GGGAAUGUGGCUUAGUGGUACAGUGCUUGCUUAGCAUGCAUGAGGCCUUGGGUUCGAUUCCUCAGUACCA
RNAcentral lists this transfer RNA (70 nucleotides) under Dipodomys ordii (Ord's kangaroo rat). It matches the Rfam family "tRNA". Rfam says of the family: Transfer RNA (tRNA) molecules are approximately 80 nucleotides in length. Their secondary structure includes four short double-helical elements and three loops (D, anti-codon, and T loops). Lineage: Eukaryota; Metazoa; Chordata; Mammalia; Rodentia; Heteromyidae. The record is from Rfam by way of RNAcentral.